GACGAACGCUAGCGGCGUGCUUAACACAUGCAAGUCGAACGAAGGGGCGUACGGGUGAGUAACGCGUAAGCAACCUGCCCUUCAGAGGGGGACAACAGUUGGAAAAGAAUGCUAAUACCGCAUACAGAAGGAGGGGAUUGCGGCUGAUUAGCUAGUUGGAGGGGUAACCGCCUACCAAGGCGAUGAUCAGGAGCCGGUCUGAGAGGAUGAACGGCCACAUUGGUCCUGAGACACGGCCCAGACGACUACGGGAGGCAGCAGUGGGGAAGCUUCCGCAAUGGACGAAAGUCUGACGGAGCAACGCCGCGUGAGGGAUGACGGCCUUCGGGUUGUAAAGCUCUGUUAAUCGGGACGCGGUACCGGAAUAGAAAGCCACGGCUAACUACGUACCAGCCGCCGCGGUAAGUC
RNAcentral lists this ribosomal RNA (408 nucleotides) under uncultured bacterium. RNAcentral's name for it is "partial 16S ribosomal RNA". It matches the Rfam family "Bacterial small subunit ribosomal RNA", at positions 28 to 526 of the family's 1533-position model. The record is from RNAcentral.